CUUGGCUGACCUCUCAAAUUUUGAUUGUAUAUGUAAUUUCCAGAAGCCAAAGCAUAAACAUCAACAUUAUUAUGCCUAAGGGGUCCUAGACAAGGGAGGGCUAGAGAGACGGAGGAACCGAGGGUUAAGUUGGUGAGUUAGGAGGUCAAAGAGGCUUAGGGAGAAGGGACGAGACUGGCAUAAUCACAGAGGCGACGAGGCAUAGAGAGAAG
Molecule: unclassified non-coding RNA, 212 nt
Filed under: Hevea brasiliensis (rubber tree)
Lineage: Eukaryota; Viridiplantae; Streptophyta; Magnoliopsida; Malpighiales; Euphorbiaceae
Source: RNAcentral